GUACUUACCUGGACAGGAUCGAUGGGUGAUCAAUAAGGCCCAUAGCCUAGGUUAAUAGCCCACAUUGCACUUGGUGGGUGCGUUAGCCUACCAUCUCCCCAAGAGGGAGAGUGGACGUCAUAAUUUGUGGUAGAGGGGUACGCGUUCGCGCGGCCCCUA
RNAcentral lists this small nuclear RNA (159 nucleotides) under Oryza punctata. Its description in RNAcentral is "U1 spliceosomal RNA". It matches the Rfam family "U1 spliceosomal RNA". From Rfam's summary of the family: U1 is a small nuclear RNA (snRNA) component of the spliceosome (involved in pre-mRNA splicing). Its 5' end forms complementary base pairs with the 5' splice junction, thus defining the 5' donor site of an intron. Lineage: Eukaryota; Viridiplantae; Streptophyta; Magnoliopsida; Poales; Poaceae. The record is from Rfam by way of RNAcentral.